AUUGAACGCUGGCGGCAGGCCUAACACAUGCAAGUCGAGCGAGCGGCGGACGGGUGAGUAAUGUAUGGGGACUGCCCGAUAGAGGGGGAUAACUACUGGAAACGGUAGCUAAUCACGCAUACUAUCGGAUAACCCAUAUGGGAUUAGCUAGUAGGUGAGGUAAUGGCUCACCUAGGCGACGAUCCCUAGCUGGUCUGAGUGGAUGAUCAGCCAAACUGGGACUGAGACACGGCCCAGACUCCUACGGAGGUAGCAGUGGGGAAUAUUGGCAAAUGGGCGCAAGCCGGAUGCAGCCAUGCCGCGUGUAUGAAGAAGGCCCUAGGGUUGUAAAGUACUUUCAGUCGGGAUGCGUUACCGACAGAAGAAGCACCGGCUAACUCCGUGCCAGCAGCCGCGGUAAUUC
Molecule: ribosomal RNA, 403 nt
Filed under: uncultured bacterium
Lineage: Bacteria
Description: partial 16S ribosomal RNA
Rfam family: Bacterial small subunit ribosomal RNA
Source: RNAcentral